AAAGCUCAAAUUUGAAAUCUGGCACCUUCGGUGUCCGAGUUGUAAUUUGAAGAAGGUAACUUUGGAGUUGGCUCUUGUCUAUGUUCCUUGGAACAGGACGUCACAGAGGGUGAGAAUCCCGUGCGAUGAGAUGCCCAAUUCUAUGUAAAGUGCUUUCGAARAGUCGAGUUGUUUGGGAAUGCAGCUCUAAGUGGGUGGUAAAUUCCAUCUAAAGCUAAAUAUUGGCGAGAGACCGAUAGCGAACAAGUACAGUGAUGGAAAGAUGAAAAGAACUUUGAAAAGAGAGUGAAAAAGUACGUGAAAUUGUUGAAAGGGAAGGGCUUGAGAUCAGACUUGGUAUUUUGCAAGCCUUACCUUCGUGGUGGGGUCCCCUGCAGUUUACUGGGCCAGCAUCGGUUUGGAUGGUAGGAUAAUGACUUGGGAAUGUGACUUUGCUUCGGUAAAGUGUUAUAGCCC
RNAcentral lists this ribosomal RNA (456 nucleotides) under Schwanniomyces polymorphus var. polymorphus. RNAcentral describes it as "partial large subunit ribosomal RNA". Lineage: Eukaryota; Fungi; Ascomycota; Pichiomycetes; Serinales; Debaryomycetaceae. The record is from RNAcentral.